Molecule: ribosomal RNA, 253 nt
Filed under: uncultured bacterium
Lineage: Bacteria
Description: partial 16S ribosomal RNA
Rfam family: Bacterial small subunit ribosomal RNA
Source: RNAcentral
UACGGGGGGGGCAAGCGUUGUUCGGGAUUACUGGGCGUAAAGGGCGCGUAGGCGGCCUUCUAAGUCGGACGUGAAAUCCCCCGGCUCAACCGAGGAACUGCGUCCGAUACUGAAAGGCUUGAAUCCGGGAGAGGGAUGUGGAAUUCCAGGUGUAGCGGUGAAAUGCGUAGAUAUCUGGAGGAACACCGGUGGCGAAGGCGGCAUCCUGGACCGGCAUUGACGCUGAGGCGCGAAAGCUAGGGGAGCAAACGGG